AGGUCGUGGUCGUGGCCGAGGA
This 22-nucleotide non-coding RNA is filed under the name Arabidopsis thaliana (thale cress). The record is from RNAcentral. Lineage: Eukaryota; Viridiplantae; Streptophyta; Magnoliopsida; Brassicales; Brassicaceae.